RNAcentral lists this transfer RNA (82 nucleotides) under Ameiurus melas (black bullhead). It matches the Rfam family "tRNA". From Rfam's summary of the family: Transfer RNA (tRNA) molecules are approximately 80 nucleotides in length. Lineage: Eukaryota; Metazoa; Chordata; Actinopteri; Siluriformes; Ictaluridae. The record is from Rfam by way of RNAcentral.
GUCAGGAUGGCCGAAGCGGUCUAAGGCGCUACGUUAAGGUCGCAGUCUCCUCUGGGCGUGGGUUCAAAUCCCACUUCUGACA